GGAAUAUUGGUCAAUGGGCGGAAGCCUGAACCAGCCAAGUAGCGUGCAGGAUGACGGCCCUAUGGGUUGUAAACUGCUUUUAUGCGGGAAUAAAGAGGCUCACGUGUGGGCUGUUGCAUGUACCGCAUGAAUAAGGACCGGCUAAUUCCGUGCCAGCAGCCGCGGUAAUACGGAAGGUCCGGGCGUUAUCCGGAUUUAUUGGGUUUAAAGGGAGCGUAGGCCGGUUUUUAAGCGUGUUGUGAAAUGUGUGGGCUCAACCUAUGCACUGCAGCGCGAACUGGAGACCUUGAGUGCGCGGGAAGCCGGCGGAAUUCGUUGUGUAGCGGUGAAAUGCUUAGAUAUGACGAAGACCUCCGAUUGCGAAGGCAGCUGGCUGUAGCGUUACUGACGCUGAAGCUCGAAAGCGUGGGUAUCGAACA
This 419-nucleotide ribosomal RNA is filed under the name uncultured bacterium. RNAcentral describes it as "bacterial SSU rRNA". It matches the Rfam family "Bacterial small subunit ribosomal RNA", at positions 358 to 774 of the family's 1533-position model. The record is from RNAcentral.